RNAcentral lists this unclassified non-coding RNA (383 nucleotides) under uncultured bacterium. Its description in RNAcentral is "contains 16S-23S intergenic spacer region". The record is from RNAcentral.
UCCUGGUUUCCCAGGCAGUUCCAUCAGAGUGCUUUACUUACGUAAAUAGCAACUGACGGCAAGGGUUGCGCUCGUUAGAGGACUUAACCCAACAUCUCACGACACGAGCUGACGACAGCCAUGCAGCACCUGUGCAAUUGUCUGGACCGAAGCCCAGAAGACUGUAUUUCUACAGCUGUCAAAAGCAUGUCAAGCCUAGGUAAGGUUCCUCGCGUAGUGUCGAAUUAAACCACAUGUUCCACCGCUUGUGCGGGCCCCCGUCAAUUUCUUUAAGUUUUAGUCUUGCGACCGUAAUCCCCAGGCGGAUCACUUAACGCGUUAGCUACGACACUAAUUCCAUACGGAACUAACGUCUAGUGAUCAUCGUUUACGGCGUGGACUAC